GGGGGAAUGUGUGGAUUAUGGUACAUUAGAAUAGGUAUGAUCUAGAAAACUACUUGAAGCACCAUCUACAGAAAAAUGAGGACUUUCUGUCGUUAAUAGCUGCCCUUUUGAAGUGGGCGUUUCUGUCUGGAUGUGGAAGGAGGACUUCGUACCGGGUAAGGUAGACGCCCUUGAACCCAAACUCCCCAGGCACCAGCAAAACCGUCUCUGUCUUCUUAGGAAGAGGAAACUGGGCACGUGCGGCCGGUCGGGCCAAGACCAUUACGAAGUCCUGCAAAACUCACUGAGAUCAGGCGUGAAAGAUGUCAACAAACGACCUGGGCCAAAGCAUUCCAUGUGUAGGAUUGAGUGAGGUGUCGAGAUGUGGGGGCGCUAACCCUAAACCACUAGGGCUGCGGGGCCGGGUCUCACCCCGACGGCUGUGCUGGACCAAGCAAAUCCCGGAUUCACACGACACCCUUUGCUGUGACCAAUGCAGACGUGCAGUUCGAUUACCACGGAAGAUCUCCGAGCUGAGUCAACUUGACCCAAACGUGUGAAUCAUUUCGUUUACCAGGGAAAAGGGGGCCCGUGACUCCCUUCACUUUAGCGGCAACAAAAAGCGUCUAGCUGUGGGCAACAGCGCGCGCGCGUGUGUGAGUGUUGGUGUCAGCGCACAUAUUCGAUUUCCAAACAUCUUUUGAAGCUGUCUUCUCAUUUGUAAUUUACAAACCCAGUAGAUUUCAAAGACCUUGAUAGUGUUAUUAGACACCUAAAUGCACUGUCACCAUUCCUCCAAAAUUAGGUUUUUGCUGUACUCUUAAAAUCCUUUGCUAAGAAAUAUGUGAACUCAUCAUCCGAAUCCUCCUAUAGGAAACAGUCAAGAAAAAUGAGUUAAAUAUAUAAUAUGACUUAGGUAGUUUUUUUUUUUUUUUUACAAAAAAAGUGAGGCACACAAAAAUAUUCCAAUAUACUGUAUGCCACCUCAUUCAGGACAGCAGAAACAUUUCACGUUCCCACAAGAAUUCUUUCUUUGCCCUAGUGUCCUCAAAGCGGCUUCUGAUAUCCCCACUUCUUAAGAAAAAUAAGUUAGUGAAAGCCUUCACCCAAGUUUUGGGUGGGAUUCAACACUAAGCAAAAUAUGCUCAACAGAUGAUAGUAGAGAUGAAGCCAGAAAACAACUCCAGCUAUUUAAACUGCCAAAUGAGACAUAAAGCUGCAUUGUAAAAAUCAUCUGGAAAACAGGUUUUCCCAUUGAAGUCGCUAUGUGUUAAUUACUGUGAGCUGGAAGGCUGGAGAUCGAACGCCUGGAAGCCGACUUUCACCCCGCAUACGUAAACGGAAAAAGUGCUGAACAGCAGCCAGAGGGCUCCUGCUCCGACUCAUUGCCAUGCAUGCCUAGACAUUAAUAUGUGUUCAUGGAGGGCUCGUACAGUACGAGGUGUUAUUUCCUUAUAAAGAAACACCAGGUCUCGCUUUCCAUUCUUCUUACAAAAUUAUUCGCAUUAUUUAUGCUACAUUGAGCGAUCUAAUUUCUUCG
Molecule: long non-coding RNA, 1519 nt
Organism: Equus caballus (horse)
Lineage: Eukaryota; Metazoa; Chordata; Mammalia; Perissodactyla; Equidae
Source: Ensembl